This 1343-nucleotide ribosomal RNA is filed under the name Escherichia coli. RNAcentral's name for it is "partial 23S ribosomal RNA". It matches the Rfam family "Bacterial large subunit ribosomal RNA", at positions 1216 to 2543 of the family's 2925-position model. The record is from RNAcentral. Lineage: Bacteria; Pseudomonadati; Pseudomonadota; Gammaproteobacteria; Enterobacterales; Enterobacteriaceae.
AUGCGUUGUUGGGUAGGGGAGCGUUCUGUAAGCCUGUGAAGGUGUGCUGUGAGGCAUGCUGGAGGUAUCAGAAGUGCGAAUGCUGACAUAAGUAACGAUAAAGCGGGUGAAAAGCCCGCUCGCCGGAAGACCAAGGGUUCCUGUCCAACGUUAAUCGGGGCAGGGUGAGUCGACCCCUAAGGCGAGGCCGAAAGGCGUAGUCGAUGGGAAACAGGUUAAUAUUCCUGUACUUGGUGUUACUGCGAAGGGGGGACGGAGAAGGCUAUGUUGGCCGGGCGACGGUUGUCCCGGUUUAAGCGUGUAGGCUGGUUUUCCAGGCAAAUCCGGAAAAUCAAGGCUGAGGCGUGAUGACGAGGCACUACGGUGCUGAAGCAACAAAUGCCCUGCUUCCAGGAAAAGCCUCUAAGCAUCAGGUAACAUCAAAUCGUACCCCAAACCGACACAGGUGGUCAGGUAGAGAAUACCAAGGCGCUUGAGAGAACUCGGGUGAAGGAACUAGGCAAAAUGGUGCCGUAACUUCGGGAGAAGGCACGCUGAUAUGUAGGUGAAGUCCCUCGCGGAUGGAGCUGAAAUCAGUCGAAGAUACCAGCUGGCUGCAACUGUUUAUUAAAAACACAGCACUGUGCAAACACGAAAGUGGACGUAUACGGUGUGACGCCUGCCCGGUGCCGGAAGGUUAAUUGAUGGGGUCAGCGCAAGCGAAGCUCUUGAUCGAAGCCCCGGUAAACGGCGGCCGUAACUAUAACGGUCCUAAGGUAGCGAAAUUCCUUGUCGGGUAAGUUCCGACCUGCACGAAUGGCGUAAUGAUGGCCAGGCUGUCUCCACCCGAGACUCAGUGAAAUUGAACUCGCUGUGAAGAUGCAGUGUACCCGCGGCAAGACGGAAAGACCCCGUGAACCUUUACUAUAGCUUGACACUGAACAUUGAGCCUUGAUGUGUAGGAUAGGUGGGAGGCUUUGAAGUGUGGACGCCAGUCUGCAUGGAGCCGGCCUUGAAAUACCACCCUUUAAUGUUUGAUGUUCUAACGUUGACCCGUGAUCCGGGUUGCGGACAGUGUCUGGUGGGUAGUUUGACUGGGGCGGUCUCCUCCUAAAGAGUAACGGAGGAGCACGAAGGUUGGCUAAUCCUGGUCGGACAUCAGGAGGUUAGUGCAAUGGCAUAAGCCAGCUUGACUGCGAGCGUGACGGCGCGAGCAGGUGCGAAAGCAGGUCAUAGUGAUCCGGUGGUUCUGAAUGGAAGGGCCAUCGCUCAACGGAUAAAAGGUACUCCGGGGAUAACAGGCUGAUACCGCCCAAGAGUUCAUAUCGACGGCGGUGUUUGGCACCUCGAUGUCGGCUCAUCAC